AAUGAACGCUGGCGGCAUGCCUAACACAUGCAAGUCGAACGAGACCUUCGGGUCUAGUGGCGCACGGGUGCGUAACGCGUGGGAACCUGCCCUUAGGGUCGGAAUAACUCUCCGAAAGGGGUGCUAAUACCGGAUAAUGGCUUCGGACCAAAGAUUUAUUGCCUUUGGAUGGGCCAGCGUUGGAUUAGCUAGUUGGUAGGGUAAAAGCCUACCAAGGCGACGAUCCAUAGCUGGUCUGAGAGGAUGAUCAGCCACACUGGGACUGAGACACGGCCCAGACUCCUACGGGAGGCAGCAGUGGGGAAUAUUGGACAAUGGGCGAAAGCCUGAUCCAGCUCUGCCGCGUGAGUGAUGAAGUCCUUAGGGUUGUAAAGCUCUUUUACCCGGGCUGAUAAUGACGGUACCGGAAGAAUAAGCUCCGGCUAACUACGUG
RNAcentral lists this ribosomal RNA (433 nucleotides) under uncultured bacterium. RNAcentral's name for it is "partial 16S ribosomal RNA". It matches the Rfam family "Bacterial small subunit ribosomal RNA", at positions 29 to 507 of the family's 1533-position model. The record is from RNAcentral.